UACGUAGGGUGCAAGCGUUAAUCGGAAUUACUGGGCGUAAAGCGUGCGCAGGCGGUUUUGUAAGUCUGACGUGAAAUCCCCGGGCUCAACCUGGGAAUUGCGUUGGAGACUGUAAGGCUAGAGUCUGGCAGAGGGGGGUAGAAUUCCGCGUGUAGCAGUGAAAUGCGUAGAGAUGUGGAGGAACACCGAUGGCGAAGGCAACCCCCUGGGUCAAGACUGACGCUCAUGCACGAAAGCGUGGGGAGCAAACAGG
This 253-nucleotide ribosomal RNA is filed under the name uncultured bacterium. RNAcentral's name for it is "partial 16S ribosomal RNA". It matches the Rfam family "Bacterial small subunit ribosomal RNA", at positions 524 to 776 of the family's 1533-position model. The record is from RNAcentral.